RNAcentral lists this ribosomal RNA (820 nucleotides) under Microbacterium sp. HCA3-15_Pa. Its description in RNAcentral is "bacterial SSU rRNA". It matches the Rfam family "Bacterial small subunit ribosomal RNA", at positions 62 to 893 of the family's 1533-position model. Lineage: Bacteria; Bacillati; Actinomycetota; Actinomycetes; Micrococcales; Microbacteriaceae. The record is from RNAcentral.
UCGAACGGUGAAGGAGAGCUUGCUCUCUGGAUCAGUGGCGAACGGGUGAGUAACACGUGAGCAAUCUGCCCCUGACUCUGGGAUAACAGUUGGAAACAGCUGCUAAUACCGGAUACGAGCUUCGAAGGCAUCUUCAGAAGCUGGAAAGAACUUCGGUCAGGGAUGAGCUCGCGGCCUAUCAGCUAGUUGGUGAGGUAAUGGCUCACCAAGGCGUCGACGGGUAGCCGGCCUGAGAGGGUGACCGGCCACACUGGGACUGAGACACGGCCCAGACUCCUACGGGAGGCAGCAGUGGGGAAUAUUGCACAAUGGGCGCAAGCCUGAUGCAGCAACGCCGCGUGAGGGACGACGGCCUUCGGGUUGUAAACCUCUUUUAGCAGGGAAGAAGCGAAAGUGACGGUACCUGCAGAAAAAGCGCCGGCUAACUACGUGCCAGCAGCCGCGGUAAUACGUAGGGCGCAAGCGUUAUCCGGAAUUAUUGGGCGUAAAGAGCUCGUAGGCGGUUUGUCGCGUCUGCUGUGAAAACUGGAGGCUCAACCUCCAGCCUGCAGUGGGUACGGGCAGACUAGAGUGCGGUAGGGGAGAUUGGAAUUCCUGGUGUAGCGGUGGAAUGCGCAGAUAUCAGGAGGAACACCGAUGGCGAAGGCAGAUCUCUGGGCCGUAACUGACGCUGAGGAGCGAAAGGGUGGGGAGCAAACAGGCUUAGAUACCCUGGUAGUCCACCCCGUAAACGUUGGGAACUAGUUGUGGGGUCCAUUCCACGGAUUCCGUGACGCAGCUAACGCAUUAAGUUCCCCGCCUGGGGAGUACGGCCGCAAGG